UUAAAUAUCAAGGUCCACUCAUUCAAAAGCAUCAAAUUAAAAUGAUCCAAAAUGUAGGUAUUGCCCAAGAACACAAGCAAAACAUCAGACAAUAACAUAAUGUUGCUACACAACUGGAAUCUAAAAUUAAGCAAAUCAAAUGAGGUUCAUGAUAUAAAUCUGAUCCAACAACACAAAAAAAGAAAAAAAAAACUUCAUAUUAGCUUCUAGGCACGGGCUGGAGGAGCGCCUGGUCCAGCAGGGCGUGGGGCUUGACCGGGCUGGCCGGGCCUGGGUGCAUCAUCCUUGAAAAAUAAUUAAAUAAACCGAUUAGACACCACCAAAUAAAAUAUAUAAUAGCAUAAUUAAGAAAUAUAGAAGAAACUCAACUACUGAUAAAGCACUUCCAACAAUUUCAUAGCUAAAGAAUCAAAAGUCUAGGUAUAAUUAUAGCAUAUCCUCAAAAAGUAAAACAUGCAUCAUAUAUCAUACAUAUACACUACUACCCACUCAAGCAACAAGAUAUAUCUUCAACCAAAAGAGAGGAUAAUCAAAAUAUGAAAUCUAAAUUGGGAUAUUUUGAAGAAAGCCAUCCUAAAUGAUAACAGGCAUUCACAAUCACAUUAUCAAAUGACAAUAACCUUCAAACAACAUGGAAAAAAAUAACAUUAAUGGUCUACAAAACAAAUGUGCUAUUGAGUUGGCAUUUGAGAAAGGAUAGGAAAACAUUGUUCCAAAUGUGCUAUUGAUGUAGAACAAGGCAUUGCACCACCAUCCUACACAAAUUGGCCAUAGUGGCACAGUAUAUCAUCACUACUUCAUUCUACACUACUUCAUUCUACUGGUUAUAUAAACCAAGGGCCUAUUUAGAUAGUUAUCUGCAGCUACAUGAUCACUACUUUUAUACUACUGGUUAUAUAAACCAAUAUCAUAUUUGGAAAAACGACCUAUUAGCAGCUUAUAGCACAAGCCCUUAUCGUGAUAAGUGCUUAUGCAUAAGCCAUUUUUAAAGAAAAAGAUAAAACAUCGUUUAAAUGUUUGUGUGAUACAAGCUGUUUUUACAAGUAUAUUGGAGAACUUAUGAAAAGAAGCUGAAAAAAGCUUGUGAAAAUUGCCAUAUACUGUUUUCAUAAGCAAAACUUAAGCCAGUUGAUAUGCUCAAAUAAGCCAAUCCAAACAGACCCAAAAUCCGAUCCAAUAAAGAAACAUACAAUUGUGAUAAAUUUAGGGGUCCAAUUUCAGUUCUUAUUGUCAUAAACCUCUCAACAUUAGAUUUCAAAGGCAACUGUGUGACUCUAUCAUUUAUAAUAAUAUAAAAAAGCAAGGUUUCAGCAUUUUAAGCUAACCACGCAUUUUUAACAACAUUUACUUAAACAAAAACUGCAAAAAUAAAAAGGGAAAGAAGGAGAAUUACCCUGCGCCUAAUGAAACGCUGUGGAGGCUCACGCUUCCUCCUGUCAGUGCGAGAUCUGACCCUCACAACAUGAGAGUGAAUAGCACAUGACACACAGUACUGCAUCUUCACGUACAACUUUGGAAGAGUGUAUUCUACAAUUUACAAUAACAAAAUCAAUAACACAAAUCUGAAACUUUGUUCAAUAAAUUAAGAAAUGAAAAGAGGGUAAAGAACAUUACGAUCGUAAACACACGCUUCCUGAACAUCUCUAACAGCAGCCUGUUCAACAAUGUUCCUCACGAGAAAACGCUUGAUAGCCUUAUCCUAUUAAACAACAGAAGAAAAAAAUAUCGAUUCAAUAAAAGAUGCACGCAAAUACACAAAUUUGAAGUAGUGAAGAGAAAAGAUGAAAUACCUUAGGACAGCAUUUUCCACAGUUGGAGCAUCGGAUGAAUUUGACAUGGCCACGACCAUGCUUGUUACGACCUCCAUUUCUACGCUUGAACGUCUGAAACAAUUAACAAACAAAUUUAAUGGUGAGAUUGAGAAUAUCAGAUACGAAGAUUAACAUGAGUGAUUGAGAUUCCGAUUGAUCGAAACCUACCAUUGUUGCCAAGCUCCGAUCACUUCAGCAGCC
RNAcentral lists this long non-coding RNA (2012 nucleotides) under Medicago truncatula (barrel medic). Its description in RNAcentral is "lncRNA gene18339". The record is from RNAcentral. Lineage: Eukaryota; Viridiplantae; Streptophyta; Magnoliopsida; Fabales; Fabaceae.